AUUGAACGCUGGCGGCAGGCCUAACACAUGCAAGUCGAACGGUAACAGGAAGCAGCUUGCUGCUUCGCUGACGAGUGGCGGACGGGUGAGUAAUGUCUGGGAAGCUGCCUGAUGGAGGGGGAUAACUACUGGAAACGGUAGCUAAUACCGCAUAAUGUCGCAAGACCAAAGAGGGGGACCUUCGGGCCUCUGGCCAUCGGAUGUGCCCAGAUGGGAUUAGCUUGUUGGUGGGGUAACGGCUCACCAAGGCGACGAUCCCUAGCUGGUCUGAGAGGAUGACCAGCCACACUGGGACUGAGACACGGUCCAGACUCCUACGGGAGGCAGCAGUGGGGAAUAUUGCACAAUGGGCGCAAGCCUGAUGCAGCCAUGCCGCGUGUAUGAAGAAGGCCUUCGGGUUGUAAAGUACUUUCAGCGGGGAGGAAGGGAGUAAAGUUAAUACCUUUGCUCAUUGACGUUACCCGCAGAAGAAGCACCGGCUAACUCCGUG
This 490-nucleotide ribosomal RNA is filed under the name uncultured bacterium. RNAcentral's name for it is "partial 16S ribosomal RNA". It matches the Rfam family "Bacterial small subunit ribosomal RNA", at positions 30 to 507 of the family's 1533-position model. The record is from RNAcentral.